UCUCUCUUUGUCUGCCUAUUGUGAUAGUGACUGGGCUUCCUGGCCAGACACUAGGAGGUCUGUUUCUAGGUUUUGUAUUAUAUUGGGUGGCUCUCUUAUUGGUUGGAAGGCUAAGAAGCAGCCUGUGGUGUCCCUGUCUUCUGGUGAGGCUGAGUACAGGGCCAUCAGUACAGUUGUUGGUGAGCUCACCUGGCUUGUUAGACUUCUGUCUGACUUUGGUGUUCUUGUUCCCUCUGCUGUGCCUGUUUUUUGUGAUAAUAAACCUGGCUUGUUAGACUUCUAUCUGAUUUUGGUGUUCUUGUUACCUAUGUUGUGCCUGUUUUUUGUGAUAAUCGGGCAGCACUUCACAUUGCCAAGAAUCUUGUGUUUCACGAGCGGACCAAACACAUUGAAGUGGAUUACCAUUUCAUCAUAACGAAGCUUCAUGAGGGCCUUAUUGCCUUUCAUCAUGUUCCCACUGCCUCUCAGCUUGCUGAUAUUUUUACUAAGCCUUUGACAAGGCUUAUGCAUCACUCCAUAUUGCUCAAGCUGGGGGUUCAAUCACCCUCCACCUUGAAGGGAGAUGUUAGAGUUAGUGACUGCAGC
Molecule: long non-coding RNA, 585 nt
Filed under: Nicotiana benthamiana
Lineage: Eukaryota; Viridiplantae; Streptophyta; Magnoliopsida; Solanales; Solanaceae
Description: long non-coding RNA (NBEN_LNC008104)
Source: RNAcentral